RNAcentral lists this ribosomal RNA (372 nucleotides) under uncultured bacterium. RNAcentral's name for it is "bacterial SSU rRNA". It matches the Rfam family "Bacterial small subunit ribosomal RNA", at positions 527 to 898 of the family's 1533-position model. The record is from RNAcentral.
GAACCGUGCGAACGUUGUUCGGAAUCACUGGGCUUAAAGGGCGCGUAGGCGGGCGUUCAGGCCCGCGGUGAAAUCCCCCAGCUCAACUGGGGAAGGGCCGCGGGGACCGGACGUCUGGAGUGAGGUAGGGGCGUGCGGAACUGUGGGUGGAGCGGUGAAAUGCGUUGAUAUCCACAGGAACUCCGGUGGCGAAGGCGGCACGCUGGACCUUGACUGACGCUGAGGCGCGAAAGCCAGGGGAGCGAACGGGAUUAGAUACCCCGGUAGUCCUGGCCCUAAACGUUGGGGACUGGGUAGCAGGCCAGACAUGGGCUUGCUGCCGGAGCGAAAGUGUUAAGUCCCCCGCCUGGGGAGUAUGGUCGCAAGGCUGAA